This 936-nucleotide ribosomal RNA is filed under the name Bacillus subtilis. RNAcentral's name for it is "bacterial SSU rRNA". It matches the Rfam family "Bacterial small subunit ribosomal RNA", at positions 30 to 947 of the family's 1533-position model. The record is from RNAcentral. Lineage: Bacteria; Bacillati; Bacillota; Bacilli; Caryophanales; Bacillaceae.
CGCGACGCUGGCGGCGUGCCUACAUGCAAGUCGAGCGGACAGAUGGGAGCUUGCUCCCUGAUGUUAGGCGGACGGGUGAGUAACACCUGGGUAACCUGCCUGUAAGACUGGGAUAACUCCGGGAACGGGGCUAAUACCGGAUGGUUGUUUGAACCGCAUGGUUCAAACAUAAAAGGUGGCUUCGGCUACCACUUACAGAUGGCCCCGCGGCGCAUUAGCUAGUGGGGGAGGAACGGGUUACCCAAGGAACGAAGCCUAACCCAACUGGAAAGGUGAUCGGCCACACUGGGACUGAAACACGGCCCAAACUCCUACGGGAGGCAACAGUAAGGAAUCUUCCGCAUUGGACGAAAGUCUGACGGAGCAACGCCGCGUGAGUGCAUGAGGGUUUUCGGAUCGUAAAGCUCUGUUGUUAAGGAAGAACAAGUACCGUUCGAAUAGGGCGGUACCUUGACGGUACCUAACCAGAAAGCACGGCUAACUACGUGCCAGCAGCCGCGGUAAUACGUAGUGGCAAGCGUUGUCCGGAAUUAUUGGGCGUAAAGGGCUUCGCAGGCGGUUUCUUAAGUCCUGAUUGUGAAAGCCCCGGCUUCAACCGGGGAAGGGUCAUUGGAAACUGGGGGAACCUUGGAUUGCAGAAGAGGAAGAGUGGAAAUUUCCCCGUGUAGCGGUGAAUUGGGUAAAAGAUGUGAGGAACCCAUUUGCCAAAGGCAACUCUUUGGUCUGAAAUUGACCCUGAGGACCGAAAGCUGGGGAAGCCAAACAGAAUUAAAAUCCCCUGUUAGUACACGCCGUAAACGAAGAGUGCUAAGGAUAGGGGGUUCCGCUCCCUUGAUGGUGAACUAACGAUUUAACCUCCCCGGUGGGGGAUUAUCGUCCUAAAAUGAACCCAAGAGAUUGGGCGGGGGCUCCCACAAGGGAGGAAAGAGGUGAUAA